GAUAUAGGCUUUAAAGAGGGUUUGCAUGAUGGAUUCUGGGAUAGCCUUCCUCUCAUAUCCUUUACUAAUUGUGUAAUUAGUAAUUACCACAAUUUUACUUUCCACCAACAUGGGUUGCGGUGCACUGGUGGGAGUGCUUCACCCUUAGCCAGAGGUCUCGGGUUCGAGUCCUGGGUAUGGAGAAAAUCAUGUUGGGAGCGCCACCACCAAAUGGGCCCUACAGUGAGCGACCCGAAUUUAGUCGAAGUUCCAAUGUGGGCUCUGGACACCAG
Molecule: unclassified non-coding RNA, 272 nt
Filed under: Hevea brasiliensis (rubber tree)
Lineage: Eukaryota; Viridiplantae; Streptophyta; Magnoliopsida; Malpighiales; Euphorbiaceae
Source: RNAcentral